AACGAACGCUGGCGGCAGGCCUAACACAUGCAAGUCGAACGGACCCUCCGUGGUUAUCUGCGGACGUGGGGUGAAGGCGUGGUAAUAUGCCCUUCUCUACGGAAUCCUCCUGUUAGACUGGGGGUAAUACAGUAUACGCUAUUUGGGGAAAGGAUUUAUCGGUGAAGGAUUAGCCCGGGUUGGAUUAGGUAGUUGGUGGUGUAAUGGCCUAUCAAGCAGAGGAUCCAUAGCUGGUUUGAGAGGAUGAUCAGCCACACUGGGACUGAGACACGGACCACACUACUACGCGACGGAGCAGUGGAGAAUCUUAGACAAUGGAGGCUAACCUGAUCUAGCCAUGCCGGGUGAGUGAUGAAGUCCUUAGGGUUGCAAAGCUCUUUCAGACGGGACGAUAAUGACGGUACCAGCAGAAGAAGCACCGGCUAACUCCGUG
RNAcentral lists this ribosomal RNA (433 nucleotides) under uncultured bacterium. RNAcentral describes it as "partial 16S ribosomal RNA". It matches the Rfam family "Bacterial small subunit ribosomal RNA", at positions 29 to 507 of the family's 1533-position model. The record is from RNAcentral.